RNAcentral lists this long non-coding RNA (1056 nucleotides) under Ricinus communis (castor bean). RNAcentral describes it as "long non-coding RNA (RCOM_LNC001348)". Lineage: Eukaryota; Viridiplantae; Streptophyta; Magnoliopsida; Malpighiales; Euphorbiaceae. The record is from RNAcentral.
UUCAUGGUUGGUAUUUUUAUAAUUAAAUAUGGCGGUAAGGGCAUUUUAGUAAUUUCACCUUUAAAAGUAAGGAUAAAUAAGUAAUUCUUUAUUUUUAAUAAUUGUAAUUUGGCCCAAAUUAAGUAGUUAGGGGCUUAAUUGAAAAGCUAAAGAAAAAUGAGAGUGUUAAAUGGAAAUUUUGCACGGAGAAAUUGUUAGUAAUAAAAAGAAAUGAGGGACUAAAUGGUUAUUAAAAAACGUUGAGGGUCUAAAUUUUGAAACAAGGAAAGAAAGAAAGGGGGAGAUCGGCAUGUCGGGGAAGAAGGAAGAGGGAGAGAAGAGGAGCUGCUAUCUGUCGAGCUCGAGGCGCGGUGGCGGUAGCUGGCGCUGGCGGCAGCAGCUUCAGCAGGCGUUGGCGGCAAUGCGGCGAAGAGAAAAAAAAUAGAGGAGGUAGCAGUUGUCGAUGCCGUGUGGGCUGUUUUCGACGGCAAUGGUGGCCGAGUUGGGUGGCGAUUGACUCACUUGAGUAUGGGCUUCCUUUUGGGAGCAGCGGCGUCGACAAUUAUGGCCGGAGGAAGGAGUUCCGGCGAAGUGAAGGCAGCCAGAAUUUUAGGCUUUUCCUGUCAUCUUCAACGAGUUUUGGCUGAUCAAAGGGCAUAUCUGGACUCCCGUCGGCUCAAGCUUUCCAAUGGCACCAGUUUUGCGGCAAUCAGACUCCAUUUGAAAAUCGACGGCUGAGAUCGUUCGUGAAUUUCUCCGGAUGAUCGGGGGUUGGAUUGGAGGAUCGGGUGAUGGAAUCAUCAUUAGCAUGUUGUCUCGAGUCUGUAGGCGAGCUCGAAUCGUCGAUCGGACUCCAGCGAUUGGAGGCGAGUCGACUGGGUGAUCAAGCGUCUUGGUAAUCAUCUAGCCCAUUGAUUUUAGAGUUUGUUAAUAAAAAUUAUGUGAUUAAUUAUUGUGUUGAGCACCGGAAAAGUUAUGUGAGGUUUGUUUGUCGAAAUAAUUAGUAUGUCGGACCGUUUGCCAAUAAUUGUGAUAUGUAAUGUGUUGCGAAGUCGGAAAAAAUGAUGUACUUUUGAU